This 281-nucleotide ribosomal RNA is filed under the name uncultured Acholeplasma sp. RNAcentral describes it as "partial 16S ribosomal RNA". It matches the Rfam family "Bacterial small subunit ribosomal RNA", at positions 1105 to 1382 of the family's 1533-position model. Lineage: Bacteria; Bacillati; Mycoplasmatota; Mollicutes; Acholeplasmatales; Acholeplasmataceae. The record is from RNAcentral.
UACUUGCUAGUUACCAUCAUUAAGUUUGGGGACUCUAGCGAGACUGCCAGUGAUAAACUGGAGGAAGGUGGGGAGUGACGUCAAAUCAUCAUGCCCCUUACUGACCUGGGCUACAAACGUGAUACAAAUGGCUGGAACAAAGGGAAUGCGAAGCAGUGAUGUGGAGCGAAACCCAUAAAAACAGUCUCAGUUCGGAUUGAAGUCUGCAACUCGACUUCAUGAAGUCGGAAUCGCUAGUAAUCGCGGAUCAGAACGCCGCGGUGAAUACGUUCUCGGGGUUU